Molecule: ribosomal RNA, 863 nt
Filed under: uncultured bacterium
Lineage: Bacteria
Description: bacterial SSU rRNA
Rfam family: Bacterial small subunit ribosomal RNA
Source: RNAcentral
UCUGGCUCAGGACCAACGCUGGCGGCGUGCGUAACACAUGCAAGUCGAACGCGCGGGGGUGACCUCGCGAGUGGCGGACGGGUGAGUAACACGUGGAUAAUCUGUCCUGAUGGUGGGGGAUACCGUGCAGAAAUGGGCGUUAAUCCCGCAUACGUCCACUGGGUGUGAGCCUGGUGGGGAAAGCCUAGGUUCGCUUAGGCGCCGGAGGAGGAGUCCGCGGCCGAUUAGCUAGUUGGUGCGGUAAGAGCGCACCAAGGCGACGAUCGGUAGCUGGUCUGAGAGGAUGGUCAGCCACACUGGGAUUGAGAACGGCCCAGACUCCUACGGGGGGCAGCAGUGAGGAAUCUUCGGCAAUGGGGGCAACCCUGACCGAGCGACGCCGCGUGCAGGAUGACGGCCUUCGGGUUGUAAACUGCUUUUCUUGGGGACGAGUAGAUUUGGACGGUACCCGAGGAAGAAGCCUCGGCUAACUACGUGCCAGCAGCCGCGGUAAUACGUAGGAGGCGAGCGUUGUCCGGAGUUACUGGGCGUAAAGGGUGCGCAGGCGGCGUGCCAAGUGGGUGAUGAAAUCUCCUGGCUCAACUGGGAGGGUGUCAGCCAAACUGGUGCGCUUGAGGCUCGGCGGGGGGCGUGGAAUUCCGGGUGGAGCGGUGAAAUGCGUAGAGAUCCGGAGGAACACCGACGGCGCAGGCAGCGCCCUGGACGAGACCUGACGCUCAGGCACGAAAGCUGGGGGAGCAAACAGGAUUAGAUACCCUGGUAGUCCCAGCCCUAAACGAUGUCCACCAGGUGCCGCGGGUAUCGACCCCUGCGGUGCCGCAGCUUACGUGAUGAGUGGACCGCCUGGGGAGUACGGCCGCAGG